This 253-nucleotide ribosomal RNA is filed under the name uncultured bacterium. Its description in RNAcentral is "partial 16S ribosomal RNA". It matches the Rfam family "Bacterial small subunit ribosomal RNA", at positions 524 to 776 of the family's 1533-position model. The record is from RNAcentral.
UACGUAGGGGGCAAGCGUUAUCCGGAUUUACUGGGUGUAAAGGGAGCGUAGACGGUAGUGCAAGUCUGGAGUGAAAGGCGGGGGCCCAACCCCCGGACUGCUCUGGAAACUGUGCGACUAGAGUGCAGGAGAGGUAAGUGGAAUUCCUAGUGUAGCGGUGAAAUGCGUAGAUAUUAGGAGGAACACCAGUGGCGAAGGCGGCCUGCUGGACGAUGACUGACGUUGAGGCUCGAAAGCGUGGGGAGCAAACAGG